GUGAAAUAUAAAUGAGAUGUGGGUACAUGUUUUUUUGGCAGGAUGCUUACUUCUAUCGGAGGAGGGUCUGAAGCUCUUGCUGAUGGAGAUGAGCAGGCCGGAGGGUAUGGGGGCCUUCGCGUUGAGGUACUUGUAUAUGAGGGCCUGGUGCUCCAGCUCCAUCCACUGCGAAGGUGUGAAGGGCAUCUUGCUCCUGGCCAGCAGCAGCCUCUGCUCAUUUGACCUCCCGAAAUCCAUACCUGGCGCCGGGUCAAGACAAAAGUGCAGAUAAAGCGGUGAAAAGAAGCAAUGGAAUGGAGCAGCCUUGGCUGCGGAGGAGGGGCCCGUCGAACGCCAGAGCGCUGCACAUCUAUCAUGGCUUGCAGAGAACAGAUCGAGCGAAGAUCGUGCGAAAAAUAAAGUGUGUGGAAGAGGGAGGAGCGGAUCCAAGAAAAGACCUGACGAUGGAGGAGCGGCGGCCUUGGAGAAGCUGAGCAUCUUCUGCUCGUCGAGGAAGGGGGAGGGGUAGGGGCAG
This is a long non-coding RNA of Triticum aestivum (bread wheat), 514 nucleotides long. RefSeq lists it as uncharacterized. The record is from RefSeq and is a predicted model, not a curated record. Lineage: Eukaryota; Viridiplantae; Streptophyta; Magnoliopsida; Poales; Poaceae. The transcript is spliced from 3 exons.